CAAGGAACAAUUCAAACACAUACAUGAUCAAAGCAAUCGACGAUAGAAGCACCACCAGUGCUGUACAAAUAAGAGCAAGCAUCACAAGUAUAUAUUCAAGUGAACAAAAGAGAGAUUCUAUCUAUUACAUCACAUUCGACCACUUAUACAAUCGAUUUACAUUUGUAUCUUCCAAAACAUAUAAUACAAGUUCAUUCACAACUCUCCGGAGCAUCUCACAACCUACACAUCAUCUACUCUCAUAUAUACAG
This 251-nucleotide long non-coding RNA is filed under the name Ananas comosus (pineapple). Its description in RNAcentral is "long non-coding RNA (ACOM_LNC003741)". Lineage: Eukaryota; Viridiplantae; Streptophyta; Magnoliopsida; Poales; Bromeliaceae. The record is from RNAcentral.